GAAGAAGCCGUUUGCCCUUCUUACAGACAUGCUUCAUUGUUGAUUUUUUAGGUUUACAAUUUUUAUUUUUCCUUUCCACUGACUUCCCGUCGAGUCUUCUAACCAAGCCAUCUCGUAUCUCGGCGAACCCGGUCACUGGCAGUUUCGGCGAGCAGUUGUUCUUCAUUUUGGGAAGUAUUAUCUCAAAGAUCUAAGUGAGCCAUCUGCGCUUGCGGUAUCUUCAAUUGCUGCUUUUAUUUGCUCUGUUGCUCUCUUGGUUUUUGUACUUGCUGUGUUCUUUGGAGCAAAUGUCUGAGUUUUUUGGUUCAACCAUGAACGGAUAGGUGCAUAGCAUAGCAGACUAAUGUGGUAAUGAGAAAUGGGAUUGAGAAGACAAGAUAGAGAUGAUAUGGCAUCCUUCAACAACAAUCUCUUUAUUACACUUGAACAAAGCCCACAGUUUUCAGUGUAAUAGUUAAAGAAAUCUGUUGUGACCAUUUCUUCUUUAGCACGUGUUCAGUUUAACACUUGAGCUUAAAUAGUAAGGGUCCACAUUGGUUAAUUUAUGAUUCAAAAAGUCCACAUUGUACUUAAUUGAGUGUUAAACUCAAUUGUUAUUUUAUUUUGUUCUGUUCUAUAUGUUUUCUAACUCUGUUUUGUGUUUUGGUUUUGUUUCUGUGUUUUUUCUUCAGACCAAACAUGGUAAUAUGUUUCUUAAUCACACUUUAGUCUGUGUUUCAAAGUGUUUGUAUGGAAAAUUCAAUGUCCCCAUAUACCUGAUUCAAUGACCAAACAUGCUCACCACACAACUUAAGACCUAAUUCAAUGUCAGCCAUACAUCUCUACUCUUCUCUAGUCAAAUCCAACGGUUCUAGAUAGACUGUCGCCUCUCUGGAACUCUUGUAAUUAGAUACACACAAUGUUGUUAGGAUUCCUUAAUUUUAGGGAUUUGAAUCCUAAUGUUAGAAUUUCUUAACUUUAGGGAUUUGAAUCCCGAGUUGAUUUAUCCUAAUUAUAGCAGGAGUAUUAUAUUUUCUUUUAUUAUUUCCUUUAUUCGAAUUUCAAGUUGACUAAGGAUUAGAAAUUCUAUAUAUAUGUAAUGCCUUUGGCUAUUUUCACAAGCAAUAAAAUACAAUUCAAAGCCUUGUGUCAGUUUGGAGGUUGAUCUUCUCAAACUGAUUGAAUCCCUAUCUUUUUCAAAUUUUUCAAUUUUCCUAAUGCCUCCAUGGGCUUCUAACUAAUUUCCAUUCUCGUGAAUUCUGAUCUGGUUCAGGUUACAAAUUCCAUUACCAUGUUUCCAAAACCUGUUUCAGCUCCUUCUUCUCUGGCUGCAAAGCAACAGGGGACUCUCAUGUUGAGUUCUUCCUUUAUUGGUUCAUGGAACUUCACAUCAUCUUCUUGUAAUCUGAAUUUGAGGACAUCCCACUUACAAGUGUAGUGUUUCAGCCAUUUGAAGAAGUCAAGAAGGAGGUUCUUCAUAUUCCUGUUGCUCCUCAAGUUUCACUUGCUAGACAGAAGUUUUCCAAGGAGUGAAGCUGCUAUAAAUGAGUAGAUCAAUGUUGAAUAUUAUGUCUCUUAUGUGUACCAUGCCAUGUACGUGUUUGCAAGAGAUAAUAUUGCUCUCAAGGGCCUGGCCAGAUUUUUCAAGGAGUCAAGUGAAGAAGAAAAAGAAUAUGCUGAAAAGUUGAUGGAAUAUCAGGUUUAUUUUUCCCAGUUCCUGUGUUCUUGAAGGUUUAAAGGCUUAUUUGGAAAUGUGAAGGCUUUUUCCAUGAAGAUGUGCACUACAUUUUAAACAAAUUCAAUUUUUUAAGCUUUUGAUUUUAUUUUAUGUUUCAGAUAUAUUUGCCCCAUUUGGACUCACCUCUGCCAAGAUGAUUUAGUUCUGCAAAUGGCUUCUUUUUUCGUAUCAGGUUUGUUCUACUGCUCAUGUUACCUAUUUGUGCAUGAAUUAGUACAAUAAUAUUCCUCUUUGCAUGAUUUUCUGAUACUAGCUAUACGCUAGACUUUUGAUUUUGUUGAUGGGAAGCCAGCAUGACAGACAAAUUCAUCUGGUCCAUUGGGCAACUUUUUGACCAUGGAGAUUUCCCUCUUGUUUGUCUUUUGCCCAGUAAAAUUACAAGAACGAUGUGCUCUUAACAAUACACGUGAGGUGUCAUACUUGUUUCUUUAUUCUUUGACAUUACAAUAUAUUUUUAGAUCAGUAUAUGAAAAUGAGUGUCUAUUUCAUUUGCCCACA
Mangifera indica (mango) is the source of this 2215-nucleotide long non-coding RNA. RefSeq lists it as uncharacterized. Lineage: Eukaryota; Viridiplantae; Streptophyta; Magnoliopsida; Sapindales; Anacardiaceae. The record is from RefSeq and is a predicted model, not a curated record. The transcript is spliced from 5 exons.